This is a small nucleolar RNA of Ornithorhynchus anatinus (platypus), 138 nucleotides long. The record is from RefSeq and is a predicted model, not a curated record. Lineage: Eukaryota; Metazoa; Chordata; Mammalia; Monotremata; Ornithorhynchidae.
CCCCUCUCAGGAUCACACCCGGAGAGUUUCCAGUACCCUACCAGUCUCAGCUACGGGAGGGACAGUCAAGCAGGGGUAUAUCCAUUCCAUUCCUAGCUUAGGCAGUGGCUAGCGAGUGGAAGGCAGUCUGCUACAAAU